ACGCUCGACACCUACGGGGGCAGCAGUGGGGAAUAUUGGGCAAUGGGCGCAAGCCUGACCCAGCAACGCCGCGUGAAGGAAGAAGGCUUUCGGGUUGUAAACUUCUUUUGUCAGGGAACAGUAGAUGAGGGUACCUGACGAAUAAGCUCCGGCUAACUACGUGCCAGCAGCCGCGGUAAUCUGAGGCGGGCUGGCAAGGC
RNAcentral lists this ribosomal RNA (200 nucleotides) under uncultured bacterium. Its description in RNAcentral is "partial 16S ribosomal RNA". It matches the Rfam family "Bacterial small subunit ribosomal RNA", at positions 328 to 539 of the family's 1533-position model. The record is from RNAcentral.